Stomoxys calcitrans (stable fly) is the source of this 1493-nucleotide long non-coding RNA. RefSeq lists it as uncharacterized. The record is from RefSeq and is a predicted model, not a curated record. The transcript is spliced from 2 exons. Lineage: Eukaryota; Metazoa; Arthropoda; Insecta; Diptera; Muscidae.
AUCUAGCAGACGAAAUAUAGAACACAACGAACUGCUACAACAACAACAACAAUCCAUAGACGCCUCAAUUCCUCAAUAGAGCAAGGAUUGAUGCCAACGUACAGGAUAUGUGUCCCGAUUUUGACCUGCGACCCCACGAUACACGUCACCAGUUUAACUGCCCAGCCAGAACCACUCGACUCAGAUCCAGAUCCCUUUGGACGCAUUCCACCUUAGUCGCAAAGUUACUCGACCUUGAUAUUGAAAAGAACAAAGCAGAUGAAAGAUAGAACACAGCAAACGGCUACAAAAAAACCCAUUGCACUUGAAGAAAUUGACCUCCCCCGGCAAACCAGAGUAGUUCUGGCUCAGUUACUAUGCGACAGAUACAGCCGCCUCAAUUCCUACAGAGCAAGGAUUGAUGCCAGGAUGCCAAGGAUUGAUGCCUGCCCAGCCAGACCCACUCAACUCAGAGCUAGAUUCCUCUGGCCGCGCCCAUUUUAGUCGCAGAGUUCCUGGAUCUGGGUACUCAACAGAAUCAAGUGGAUCAACACACUGCUACUACAACAUGAAAAACAGCCUAUAUUAAUAAGAUGUAGUUGUACCAGCGGAUAUCUUUUGUCGUCCGACCGCUGUCGUUAUUUUAAGAGACAGAUGGACGGACAUGGCUAAAUCGAGUUAUAAUGUGAAGACGAUCAAGAAGAGUAGUAGAUUAAUACCCCCAUCCUUUGGUGAUGGAUAUAAAAAUGAAAUAGGUGUUAUUCUCGAAAUGUCGAAAUGUGACGAGAGUAAAUGGCAUUGAUCCAGAAUUUCAUUUACCUGCAUGUAAAAUACCCAUCGAAAUUUGUGUUGCUAACGUAAACUCCCCAAACUCAACCAAAAAUGGUUUCGUUUGUCACGAAAUUAUCAAUGCAUGCAAAAUUGGACAAUCAUUAUGGCAAUACAAAAAGAAGGCACAGUAAACAAAUGACAUGGAUUUUCUUGCAUAAUAUAAUCUCUUAAACUUCCGCAGUCAAAAUUAAAAAUUGAUAGGACUAACGAUCCAAAUGCAUACGCUUGAAUACAAGUAGAGAUGUAUAUGAAGAAUGCGAUUUCCGAAUGUUUCCUCAUUUCUGUCGCCAAGUUGCAUUAACUCAACCAUGAAAUUAUAAAUUUGUACUAAUAUUAAAAAAGCUGAUAAAUCUUUCGACAACCUUUGGCUCUGAAUAAUGGUCGAACAAAUGCACAUAUUCGGGAGACUACAUGCAAAGGAAUUGAAUCUAUAAAAGACAGACCAUAAUUUUGAACGGUUGUAAAGUCAAGCUCAUCAUUUUGGCUGUAUAUGAUUUUAAAAUUCGACAUAAUACUAGUAUUCUUAUAAAUGUUUAGCAAAUAUGGCAAACAGUGAGUCCAUUUUAGCGAAAGUUGUUUCAAUUUAAUUUAAUUGAAUUUCAAAGUGCUUAAUUACAUUUAAUAUUUAAGCUAUGUAUAUAUGGGGAUAAAAGUAGAUCAUUGGUAGUGAAUUCGGUCUGUAA